CUUUCCUGCAUGCAAAGGCAGCUCUUGCUGCAGCAAACAGCAGCAUUUGGGGCUUUAGUUUAACCUCAAAAUACACGUAAACUUUUAAAUGAAACUAUUCUUUCAAACUCUUACUUUAUUCUAGGACCCUCUUUUAAAUUUUUUUUUCACAUCCUUUUCUGUUUGCUUUUAUACAAAAUCAGAUGAACCAAACACCUGUGAAACCUGGAACAGAAGUUGCAACUGCUCCCGGUUAUAUGGUGUCUGCCUGGCAUUUAACUGCAGGCAUUUAUUGGUCACAUUUAGCUGGCUAUGGGGAGACUACCACAAGCUUUAAUCCUGCUGAUGCAAGCCAAAAACCAAGCAAGCCUACAAGAGGACACAGGAAGCACUGGAAAAAAAUAGCACAGGGAGCGCAGGCCCUCAGUCUAACUGCUGCAUAAAUCCCAGUCUCUGUGAGGAUUAUGGUGCUACCAACACAAUAAUCACUUUUACUUCAGAGCUUCCCUGCCUUCCCAGCGUGUUUUGUAGCAUGCAUGCUGAAUGAAGUGUUAAUUGUGAA
Molecule: long non-coding RNA, 541 nt
Filed under: Junco hyemalis (dark-eyed junco)
Lineage: Eukaryota; Metazoa; Chordata; Aves; Passeriformes; Passerellidae
Description: lncRNA (ENSJHYG00000011455.1)
Source: RNAcentral